Non-coding RNA from Rhincodon typus (whale shark), 681 nucleotides. Lineage: Eukaryota; Metazoa; Chordata; Chondrichthyes; Orectolobiformes; Rhincodontidae. The record is from the annotation of a RefSeq genome assembly.
UCGAGUGAACAUGUCGCUCUAUUACUGGCUCAUUGUGGUAACCGUUUUGCCCUGCGAAUAUUUUGCACAAACACCGAAACAGAUUGUCCCAUCCAUUACCAAAAAUGUGGGUAAAACCGCUCGAUUCAAAUGCGAAGUAGAAGGUGCAACUAUCAGUAACAGCAAUCCCCUUCACUGGUACCAGCACAAGCCCGGCCAGGCACCCACCCGAAUCCUCUAUUAUGGAUCAGGCACAUCGCGGGAUCCGGGAUUUAGUGAACGGUUCAAAGCUGGGAAAUCUAAAGACAAAGAAUUCUACCUCACAAUCGACAAAUUAAAGACAGAGGACACCGCCACCUAUUACUGUGCGUACUGGAUAGAUACACACUGCGAGACAUCAAUACAAAGUUCGUACAAAAACACUGAACGAUUUGAAGCGAAACUGUCAGAGGAAUUCACAGACUCCUCCCCUAAUUGGGUUAAGUAGCGACGACACCACAGCUGGAUCUGUGUCUGAGCUUUCUCCGCCUGAAUUCGUGAUUUGGAAACUGAUGUGAAGCAAGCCAGGUCUGGGCUGUUUUGAUCAACGUACUUCCUCUGAUUUGGAAUGAGAGCACUGAGGGUCGACUCACUAUGAAAUUGAGUAGAGUAGAGUAGAAUUUGCACUGAAGUUCUCCCUGGGCAGGAGGGUGGAGUUAUAUU